GACGAAGGGGGCUAGCGUUGUUCGGAAUUACUGGGCGUAAAGCGCGUGUAGGCGGUUGUCCAAGUUGGAUGUGAAAGCCUUGAGCUUAACUCAAGAAAUGCAUUCAGGACUGGAUGACUAGAGGACCGGAGAGGAUAGUGGAAUUCCCAGUGUAGUGGUGAAAUACGUAGAGAUUGGGAAGAACACCAGUGGCGAAGGCGGCUAUCUGGCCCAACAUUGACACUCAGACCCGAAAGUGCGGGGAUCAAACAGG
This 253-nucleotide ribosomal RNA is filed under the name uncultured bacterium. RNAcentral's name for it is "partial 16S ribosomal RNA". It matches the Rfam family "Bacterial small subunit ribosomal RNA", at positions 524 to 776 of the family's 1533-position model. The record is from RNAcentral.